AAUAAACCAAUUUUUCAUUUUUUACCUACAAUUUUUAACUCUUCGUUUUAUUCAAAUUUUUUUUACGAUUGAUAUUUUUGUUUUUAUUAAAUGAUAAAUCAUGAAUAGUAUUUUACGUGUAACUAUUUUUUUAAUUUCCUGAAAUUUUUUUAAAUAAAACCGCAACGGAUGGUCAAACGUUGGACACGAAAACC
RNAcentral lists this microRNA precursor (194 nucleotides) under Oryza brachyantha (malo sina). Its description in RNAcentral is "MIR812 microRNA precursor family". It matches the Rfam family "MIR812 microRNA precursor family". Lineage: Eukaryota; Viridiplantae; Streptophyta; Magnoliopsida; Poales; Poaceae. The record is from Rfam by way of RNAcentral.